This is a non-coding RNA of Myripristis murdjan (pinecone soldierfish), 351 nucleotides long. The record is from the annotation of a RefSeq genome assembly. Lineage: Eukaryota; Metazoa; Chordata; Actinopteri; Holocentriformes; Holocentridae.
AUGUUCUCUGUAGCUCUGCUGCUGCUGCUGGCUGCUGGAUCCUGUGUGAAAUGUUACACGCUGACACAGCCAGCAUCUCUGACUGUCCGGCCAGGUCAAACUCUGACCAUCACCUGUCAGGUCUCUUAUUCUGUUAGUGACUAUGCAACAGCUUGGAUCAGACAGCCUGCAGGGAAAACACUGGAGUGGAUUGGAUUGGGUAGAGUGGGUUACAGCUCAGCUUACAAAGAUUCACUGAAAAACAAGUUCAGUAUUUCCUUCGACUCUUCCAGCAACACAGUGACUCUAACUGGACAGAAUGUGCAGCCUGAAGACACUGCUGUGUAUUAUUGUGCCAGACAGCCACAGUGA